CCCUUAGAUGUUCUGGGCCGCACGCGCGCUACAUUGAUUCAUGCAACGAGUUUUGUCCUUGGCUGAAAGGCCUGGGUAAUCUUUGAACGUGAAUCGUGCUGGGGAUAGAUGAUUGCAAUUCUUCAUCUUCAACGAGGAAUGCCUAGUAAACGCAAGUCAUCAGCUUGCAUUGAUUACGUCCCUGCCCUUUGUACACACCGCCCGUCGCUCCUACCGAUUUCGAGUGAUCCGGUGAACCUUUUGGACCGCUGGCACCUCGUGUGCUGCGCGGGAAAUCAAGUAAACCAUAUCACUUAGAGGAAGGAGAAGUCGUAACA
This 317-nucleotide ribosomal RNA is filed under the name uncultured eukaryote. Its description in RNAcentral is "partial 18S ribosomal RNA". It matches the Rfam family "Eukaryotic small subunit ribosomal RNA", at positions 1470 to 1796 of the family's 1831-position model. The record is from RNAcentral.